Gossypium arboreum is the source of this 728-nucleotide long non-coding RNA. RefSeq lists it as uncharacterized. The transcript has 3 exons. Lineage: Eukaryota; Viridiplantae; Streptophyta; Magnoliopsida; Malvales; Malvaceae. The record is from RefSeq and is a predicted model, not a curated record.
AUCGAAAGUUUCUUCCUCUUCCAUAACCCCAUAACCUUCGCCUGCAUAUAUCUGUUGAAUGAAAUUACAUAAAAUAUCAAAAUGACAUAUGAUCAGUUUCAUUAACUCACUGUUUAUUCUUUAUCUUUUGGGGUUUCGUAUAAUGGGUUUCCAAAUACCAAAAGCAAACCAUGUCCAGAAUCUUUUAGAACAAGCCUUAGAGCUAUGGAGAAAGAAAUCUCAAACAAGGUUAAUUUGCUCCACCAAAGUGCUGAAGAAUGUGAAGAGCAAGGGGUGAGCAUUGAAGUUCAAAUUACAGCUGGGGUUCCCAUAAAGAAUGUUGUUCUAUGAAGUGCUUACCUCAAAGGCAGCAUGGGUUGUACUUGAUAGUAAUGGCUUCUUCAUUAGCCAACACAGUUUGCGAGCGGAGAGUAAAGGGGCAGAAGGAAGGUGCGACGAGUUUUGUAGGCUAAUCUGGUGUUGGAAAAAUUCGGUUAGGAAAACGAUUUUUAGUUAUAGUAGAAGUUUAAAAUUUUUGAAAACCGAGUUAACUUGUGAUAUUCAUAUCAAUAAUUUUUUUCUGAAUUUAUAGUGAUAUAAGAGAAUUCUAAUUGAAUAAGAAUAACAUAAAUAAUAUUUAUUUAAUAGAAAAUACUCCUCUAGUCUAUUUAGGAGAGUGAUGGGCGGCACACACUAAGGUUGCCACCCCUCCCUUAUCAUAUGAGGGGAUUAGACUUCUCAUGUAUUGA